AGGCGUGGGUUCGGAUCCC
Molecule: non-coding RNA, 19 nt
Filed under: Mus musculus (house mouse)
Lineage: Eukaryota; Metazoa; Chordata; Mammalia; Rodentia; Muridae
Source: RNAcentral